This 446-nucleotide long non-coding RNA is filed under the name Heterocephalus glaber (naked mole-rat). RNAcentral describes it as "lncRNA (ENSHGLG00000039779.1)". Lineage: Eukaryota; Metazoa; Chordata; Mammalia; Rodentia; Bathyergidae. The record is from RNAcentral.
GUCGCUUCCCUUCGUCCCUCCCACACGCCUUCCUGCUCUCUUCCUCCUCCUCCCGGCCGCUGCCGCCUGCUGCUGUGUUCUUGAGCCUGGCAGGCAGAGGUCCGAUAACAGAACGGAGCUGGCGUAGCAGUGAGCCCCCUGAAACCAGCGUUCCCAGAGCCGAGAAGAUGGACGAUCAGCUUCCAGCACCCUCCCCCAGUCUGGCUGGGACUUGCAUCAGUCACGGCCAGUGGGGAAGGCUGGAGAGAGACACAUGCUUCCUGACCAUCCCGAAUCGGCGUCGAGAGCUCUGAGAUGAACUCUGCGGAAGCUGGUGAUUCUCACAGUGCUGGGACGGCCUCCCUCAGCCCGAGCCAGAUCCUGUGUUCCCUCGAUAGCGCGAGUUUCCGCCAUACGCUGUUUGACAGUGGGCAGCUUUGUAAAACCUACUCACGCCCAGUGCUGCC